Molecule: ribosomal RNA, 253 nt
Filed under: uncultured bacterium
Lineage: Bacteria
Description: partial 16S ribosomal RNA
Rfam family: Bacterial small subunit ribosomal RNA
Source: RNAcentral
UACAGAGGUCUCAAGCGUUGUUCGGAUUCAUUGGGCGUAAAGGGUGCGUAGGUGGCAUGGUAAGUCGGAUGUGAAAUCCCGGGGCUCAACCCCGGAACUGCAUUCGAUACUGCCAGGCUAGAGUACUGGAGAGGAGAUUGGAAUUUACGGUGUAGCAGUGAAAUGCGUAGAUAUCGUAAGGAAGACCGGUGGCGAAGGCGAGUUUCUGGACAGUAACUGACGCUGAGGCACGAAGGCCAGGGGAGCAAACGGG